UACAUGGGGUGCAAACGUUGCUCGGAAUUAUUGGGCGUAAAGAGCUCGUAGGCGGUCUGUCGCGUCGGCUGUGAAAACCCGGGGCUCAACCCCGGGCCUGCAGUCGAUACGGGCAGACUAGAGUGCGGUAGGGGAGACUGGAAUUCCUGGUGUAGCGGUGAAAUGCGCAGAUAUCAGGAGGAACAGCCGGUGGCGAAGGCGGGUCUCUGGGCCGUAACUGACGCUGAGGAGCGAAAGCGUGGGGAGCGAACAGG
This 254-nucleotide ribosomal RNA is filed under the name uncultured bacterium. RNAcentral's name for it is "partial 16S ribosomal RNA". It matches the Rfam family "Bacterial small subunit ribosomal RNA", at positions 524 to 776 of the family's 1533-position model. The record is from RNAcentral.